RNAcentral lists this ribosomal RNA (253 nucleotides) under uncultured bacterium. Its description in RNAcentral is "partial 16S ribosomal RNA". It matches the Rfam family "Bacterial small subunit ribosomal RNA", at positions 524 to 776 of the family's 1533-position model. The record is from RNAcentral.
UACGAAGGGGGCGAGCGUUGUUCGGAUUUACUGGGCGUAAAGGGCUCGUAGGUGGCCAACUAAGUCAGACGUGAAAUCCCUCGGCUUAACCGGGGAACUGCGUCUGAUACUGGAUGGCUUGAGUUCGGGAGAGGGAUGCGGAAUUCCAGGUGUAGCGGUGAAAUGCGUAGAUAUCUGGAGGAACACCGGUGGCGAAGGCGGCGCUCUGGACCGAGACUGACGCUGAGGCGCGAAAGCGUGGGGAGCAAACAGG